Molecule: ribosomal RNA, 465 nt
Filed under: Vreelandella stevensii
Lineage: Bacteria; Pseudomonadati; Pseudomonadota; Gammaproteobacteria; Oceanospirillales; Halomonadaceae
Description: partial 16S ribosomal RNA
Rfam family: Bacterial small subunit ribosomal RNA
Source: RNAcentral
CCUACGGGAGGCUGCAGUGGGGAAUAUUGGACAAUGGGGGCAACCCUGAUCCAGCCAUGCCGCGUGUGUGAAGAAGGCCCUCGGGUUGUAAAGCACUUUCAGUGAGGAAGAACGCCUGGUGGUUAAUACCCAUCAGGAAAGACAUCACUCACAGAAGAAGCACCGGCUAACUCCGUGCCAGCAGCCGCUGUAAUACGGAGGGUGCGAGCGUUAAUCGGAAUUACUGGGCGUAAAGCGCGCGUAGGUGGCUUGAUAAGCCGGUUGUGAAAGCCCCGGGCUCAACCUGGGAACGGCAUCCGGAACUGUCAAGCUAGAGUGCAGGAGAGGAAGGUAGAAUUCCCGGUGUAGCGGUGAAAUGCGUAGAGAUCGGGAGGAAUACCAGUGGCGAAGGCGGCCUUCUGGACUGACACUGACACUGAGGUGCGAAAGCGUGGGUAGCAAACAGGAUUAGAUACCCGUGUAGUC